CUGUCUGCCCCCUAGUGUAAGAGUCCUCGCUGCCUAAAACGCAACUUUAAAAGAAAAGAGCUCUUAAAGGGAAACGACUUUGAGCUCACGUAGGCAUAGCAGAAUGAAACUUCUGUACAUUUUAAUCUGAAUAAUUCUUCAGGGUUUAAAAUUAAUUGGCUCUGGCUUGGUUGGACCGGACUCCGAUCUCGCCACCUCUGCGUUUCCUGAGUCACUGCCGGAGAGGUGAUGAUUUUUUUUUUUUUCUUUCUGAAUUGGGUUUAUGUGCGUCCCCCUCACCCCCUCCUCUCUUUUUUCUUUCUCUGUCUCUGUCGUCUCUCUCGCUGGCUUUUUAAAAAUGAGGAACCGUUCCUUGAACGUUCUGGACAGAGCACAGAAUUGCUUAAGUCAGCCCGACACGGUUGUAAUAGACAGCAAAAAGGUAAACGUUUGCCUGAAAUCCGCACGCCAGCUCCACUACCCCGCCCGAUGAGAAGAAUAAUGGGGAAACACGGAUCUUUUAUUUUAGGAAACUGUUAUGGUAAGAUGUAUGUCAGACUUGACAAAUGGAACUAACCCUCUUCGGCUGCUUCUUGUCCUUGUCUUAAACAGGAAUUAAGUUAAACACAGUGCUGAAUGUUAAUUACAUGUUUACUGGCUAAUGAAAAUUACAAAUGGUUUUGCCACCUCAAACAAUGAUGAAAACUCUGAAGACACUGUAAUUAUAUACUUUGAGGGAAAUAACUCAGAAUAUUGAUCAUAAGAAGUGUAAAUCUUUUUUUAACUAUUCAUUAAUACCAUAAAUAUGGGCUACAGAAGUUUUUCCUAGUGGUUUGUCUCAUCAGUUAUACGAGUGGAUGGAUGGUGAGGCUUCUCUGGGGAGGUGAUGAACUCAUUCUCUUAUAGAAGGAGGCCACUUGUGUAACUGGGGGUGCCCCCCUCCCUUUCACCCCCGCCCCCUUUAACCCCAGCAGAAGGUCGAGGGAUAGUUGAACAGGGGGGCCGGGCUCAGGGCAGGUGAAGGUGAUCACAGCUCAGCCUCUUUCCUCCCCUCCCCUUGUCCUCCUCUCCCUCCUCCCUUUCCUGCCAGGUCUGAUCGAUGACUGCCUUCCCCAGCCAGGGCGCCUGUCGGAUAACCUGGCGUUUGGGUUCCUAAUGGAGGACAACUCACCGCAACCCAGCGAUGCCGCCCCGACAACCCAAGUUCCCUCCUUUAGAGGUGGCUAGGGCAGUUCAUUGCAAAAGAAGAA
Molecule: non-coding RNA, 1229 nt
Organism: Kogia breviceps (pygmy sperm whale)
Lineage: Eukaryota; Metazoa; Chordata; Mammalia; Artiodactyla; Physeteridae
Source: RefSeq, a predicted model, not a curated record